ACUGUUUAAUGUCUGGACAAAAUAUAAAGACUUGCUGGAAAAUAAAACACCAAGGUGGCUUUCACCUUUGGAAGCUAAGGCCCGAAAAAGACCCAAUAUGGAGGCCAAAUGGCCAAAAUAUUGGGAAAUACUAGAAAAGAUGGAGACAAUUGGAAAUUGCAGAGUUUGGAGAAAAUGAAAGACAAAGUGCGAGAUUGGUUACAUUAUGCUCAGAUUAAAGAAGUUUUUAAAAAUGAUAAGAAACUAGGGUUCCAGGUGGAGAAAUCGAAAUUAGAAACAGAAUUGUUAGAACCAAAGAUUAAGAUACUUUCAAGGAUGUAUAACUUGCUGUUGGAAUGGAAUACACAAGAUGAAAUGGUUAAAUCGGCUAUGAUAAGGUGGGCACAGGAUAUUGGGCAUAAUAUUAUGUUUGAGGACUGGGAAAGGCUGUGGAGUAAUGGAUUGAAAUUUACUGCAUGUAAUGCUUUGAAAGAAAAUGUAAUGAAAAUGAUUUAUAGAUGGUAUAUGACCCCAGUCAAACUCGCAAAAAUUUACCACCUGUCUGAUAACAAGUGCUGGAAAUGUAAAGAGUGUGAAGGAACGUUCUUUCACCUCUGGUGGACCUGCCCUAAAGUGAAGGCGUUCUGGGAAAUGAUUUAUAAUGAAUUGAAAAAGGUAUUUAAAUAUACUUUCACUAAGAAACCAGAGGCUUUCCUUUUGGGUAUUGUCAGCCAAGGGGUGGCAAAGAAGGACCAGACAUUUUUUAUGUAUGCAACAACAGCAGCAAGGAUACUACUCGCAAAACAUUGGAAAACUCAAGAUCUACCCACACUGGAAGAAUGGCAGAUGCAACUGAUAGACUAUAUGCAACUGGCUGAAAUGACUGGCAGAAUCCGUGACCUGGGAGAAGAGAGAAUCGAGGAGGAUUGGAAGAAAUUUAAGAACUACCUACAAAAACAUUGUGAUUUGACUGAAUGCUGAAUAAGAUGCUAGACUAAAUAACUGAGCACCACUUAACUUAGAAGUUUUUAAGAAAAUAAGAAAAACUGUGAAAGUUUAACUCUUUAUGAGAACUAUAAGAUUAUGAAAUAUCGAAGAGAUAUAAGAAUUUAAAUAAGAUGAUAAAUUGCUGACAAAAUGUUAUAAUGAUGAAGGUGGGAGCGGGAGAUGUGAGGAAGUCCAAAGAAAAUGUGAAAUUAUGUUAAGACGAAUGUUAUAUUGUUUAUUACAUUUAUUCCUAUUGUAAAAUCCAAUAAAUUGCUUU
This is a non-coding RNA of Podarcis lilfordi (Lilford's wall lizard), 1243 nucleotides long. The record is from the annotation of a GenBank genome assembly. NCBI's taxonomy places the organism in Eukaryota, Metazoa, Chordata, Lepidosauria, Squamata, Lacertidae.